Molecule: long non-coding RNA, 751 nt
Organism: Branchiostoma floridae (Florida lancelet)
Lineage: Eukaryota; Metazoa; Chordata; Leptocardii; Amphioxiformes; Branchiostomatidae
Exons: 3
Source: RefSeq, a predicted model, not a curated record
CUUAGUGACUUUAGUGUCCCUUAGUUGUGCCCAGCCGAUCUACAGUCUUCCAUCAGACGACAAAUGCGUUUGUGAUGUCAGUCAUGUGGUGAACUGUAACGGCGAAAGCUGGAUCUACUGAAGGAAAUCAUGAGACAACUUCUUCAGGCAGGAUCCAACUUCUCCAGCGCAGGCCCCCGGGGAUACCUGGUAGAGACGGUCGGGACGGGAGUGUUGGCCCUCCUGGUCCCCCCGGGCCACCAGGACCAAGUGGUCGUGACGGUCGAGAUGGAGUUGUCAGUUGUCCGGCCGGUUCAGACGGGUCUUCGAGCCCAAAAGUUGCCUUCACCCUGACCCGUUCCACUGAUCUGGGCGUGGUCUCCAGUUCAGCUGACCUGACCGUGACCUUUGAGAGGGUCUGCAUGGAGGGUCCUGACAACGCUUUACGCUAAAUUCGGGACGGUCGACAACGCUUUACGUUAAAUUCACGAAGGCCUGCAACGUUUUACCCUAAAUUCAGAAAGGCUGGCAACGGUUUACGUUAUUUAAAGAUGUUGCCCAAUUUUCCUGUCAAGCGUAAAGAUGAACCACAUACUAGAGUCGGCCUGAAUGUUCUGUCUUGCUGUUUCUGUUAUUGACUCAAAUACAAAUCAACGAGUAGAUACAUGUAGGUGUUGUUAUGAACACACGUAAGCCUACACAGGCUUUGACUUAUUCUCUGCAUUCUCAGGCAUUCGGAUGUAGGGAUUGGGAGUGACCAAGUUAAGCCGGA